Molecule: non-coding RNA, 662 nt
Organism: Zonotrichia albicollis (white-throated sparrow)
Lineage: Eukaryota; Metazoa; Chordata; Aves; Passeriformes; Passerellidae
Source: RefSeq, a predicted model, not a curated record
GGAAGGCUCUGCAAUGCUCCCCUGCUCACCAGGUCACAAUAGAGAUGAACGAGCCUGUGCAGCUGACCUUCGCCCUGAGGUACCUGAACUUCUUCACCAAAGCCACCCCCCUGUCCCCCACGGUGACGCUCAGCAUGUCUGCAGAUGUUCCUCUGGUUGUGGAGUACAAGAUCGCUGACAUGGGACACCUCAAGUACUACCUGGCCCCCAAGAUCGAGGACCAGCAGGAUGGCUCUUAACUGGAGCAGGGCUGGGGACAUCUGCUCCUGCCUGGAGGGAGGAGCAGCUCCAGGGCCUGGGGGCGCCCUGGCAGCGCUGUAGCCGUGUCUUGUAGAUAUAUUUGUAAAUAUUUUUCAACACUCUGUUUUUGCUAUCCUGGUGUCCUUGGAAAGAGGAAAGCUGAGUUUUUCUGGUCUGUUCCUGCACUCCCAACAAUCUCUUGGAUGCUGUUGAAGGUGAAAUGUUUUACUCCUUUCAGCUGCUGUUGGAGAAGAGGGGCAAUAUUUAAUGUCCAAGGUGUAUCCUGGAGUUUCCCUGUGCAGUUGUAGCUUAGGGUUGCUGUUUUGUUAUCCCACGAGUUUGUUACCUUACUUCAUUUAUUUUUGAAGCCGAUAUUCUGAUUGAAAUUUGGAAAACGGAAAUAAAAAACAUAAUUUCCUGGA